Molecule: long non-coding RNA, 752 nt
Organism: Cyprinus carpio (common carp)
Lineage: Eukaryota; Metazoa; Chordata; Actinopteri; Cypriniformes; Cyprinidae
Source: Ensembl
AGCAAUAAGGUUAAUUAUAUCAAUCGUGGCACUCACAGUCUGUGCAGAUUUUCUUUGAGAAAAAAGGAAAUGCCAAUUUGCCAGAAGGUGCAAAUUGUUCAUGUAUGGCAUGCCUCUUAUGCUGUGUAUAAAAGCCAGGGCAGAAGGCGACACAACUGCAAACUGACCCGGCAAUCACAGCCACUGCAAACAUGUUGACAGUAUUGGCUCUGAUGACACUUCUGAUGGUCUCGGUUGAGUCGGACCUCUCAAAUGAAGAGUGGAAGUCUCUGAGUAACCCACAGAGCAGGACCCUGUUUUUCCGAAUCCUGCAGUCAUAUCUUGAAGACAGAGAGAGUGAAGUUCAAGCGAUGAACAGGAAAACAAACAUGAAGGAAAACAAAAACAGCAAUAUAGAAAAUACUGGUUAUGACAAGUACGAGCUCUAUCGUCACAAUGACAUUUAUGAUGUUUAAUUGAGGAUUUCAUUUUUAACAUGCAAAUCAGGUAUUAGGUCUAAUAGUUUGAGAAAUGUUCAAGUCAUUAUGUCUGCAAUGAUGUUUUGCAUAGUAAAAUUGAAACACUUGCUGGACAAAUUUCUGCCUGUUUUUCUUUAUAUAUUUCUCAUUUAUAGUAAGUAAAUGAUUCAUAAUAGUUUUUUGUUAUUAAUGUUUAACAAAGUGAAAAACUAGAGUUGAUCCAAGCAAAGCAUGUCAAGGAAGAAAUAUACGGGUCACUUCAAAUUAUCAUUCCUCUAUUGUUUAAAUAUUUCU